RNAcentral lists this ribosomal RNA (485 nucleotides) under uncultured bacterium. RNAcentral describes it as "bacterial SSU rRNA". It matches the Rfam family "Bacterial small subunit ribosomal RNA", at positions 28 to 507 of the family's 1533-position model. The record is from RNAcentral.
GACGAACGCUGGCGGCGUGGAUUAGGCAUGCAAGUCGAACGGUAUCAUCCUUCGGGGGUGAGAGAGUGGCGAACUGGUGAGUAACACGUAGGUUAUCUACCUCAAGACGGGGACAACCCAGGGAAACUUGGGCUAAUACCGGAUGUGAGCAACUUUUAGUUGUUUGAAAGGUGGCGUAAGCUGUCGCUUGGGGAUGAGCCUGCGUCCUAUUAGUUAGUUGGUGAGGUAACGGCUCACCUAGGCAAUGAUAGGUAGGCGGCCUUAACGGGUGGUCGCCCACACUGGGAUUGAGAUACGGCCCAGACUCCUACGGGAGGCAGCAGUCGAGAAUAGUCUACAAUGGUCGGAAGACUGAUAGUGCGACGCCGCGUGAACGAUGAAUCCCUUCGGGGUGUAAAGUUCUUUUAUAUGUGAGCAGUGCUUCUUAUAUUAACAGUAUGGGGAGAGAGAUAUUAGCAUAUGAAUAAGCAACGGCUAACUCCGUG